UUGCCUCUGAUGAGAUCGGUUAACAAAUACCAUCUUUCGGGACUGAUUGGCCUUACAAGCCUUGUUGACAUUUCCGCUAUUCUGAGGCAU
Molecule: small nucleolar RNA, 90 nt
Organism: Argentina anserina (silverweed cinquefoil)
Lineage: Eukaryota; Viridiplantae; Streptophyta; Magnoliopsida; Rosales; Rosaceae
Product: small nucleolar RNA SNORD96 family
Exons: 1
Source: RefSeq, a predicted model, not a curated record